CUGCUUUUUUAAAUUGGGUCAUACUAGUGAUUGAUGUUGCUUUAAAAUAUCAAAUCAGACCAAGAAACACUUAUUUAGUAAGCAAGCUUCUGCACCUCCAAAAUCCUCAAGAGAAGAAGAAACUGAUAGCGAUCAAAGCCAAGCUUCCAGGACAAGAAUAAUUCUCACUCCAAUUCAAGAUAUUUCUGGGAGAGUAGCGUGUUCACAUGACAGUGGUUGUGCCCCAGAAUCUCCUUCCAUGCUGGUAACAACUGGGAGAUGAAGGUGUUGAAGGUGAUGAGAAGAAAGUCCCGACUAUGCGUGGACUGGAAGUCUGACUCUGCGAGUGUGAGGAGAUGCCAGAGCCCGGGCAGUGCUGCUGGAGCCCCAAGGAUGCAGGAGACCAGGUACUGUGCUCACACCCCAGGGGACCCCCUCCCCACGCUCAUCCACAGCUUCCUUUCCUGGUGGAGUAGAAAGCAGGAAUCGAUGGACCCCAAGAAUGGCAGAGGGGACAAGAGGGCAGCCUCGUUAUAAGUGGUGGGUACAGAAGGGGGUACCGGCCAUAGGACUCAGCGCCAACCAGCUGUGGCCACCACCGGCUCAGCUCCACACACGGCCCCACCCCUCCCCGCUUCCCCAGCCUCCAAGACAGGUUCGUCUACAGAUGGUCUCACCUCCUCCCCCACUCCAGUGACCAGUGGAAGAAGGAAGGCAGGCCACAGCCAUGUCAGUGACAGAAAGCCACCUGACAAAGGAGGAGGACAGAGCGUCAGCGUGAGAGUCAGGGCUCCGGAAAGCAUGUGCCAUCAGAGGAGCAGUGGGUCAUAGGACAACACAAUACAAGACAGAGGCCGUCCUGGGAUGUUCCCCAAAGGUAUGUCCUUCCAGGAACCUCAGAAUGUGAACUUAAUGGAAAUGGAGUCACCGUGGAUACAAUUGUUGACAUUAAGCUGAGCUCAUACUGGACAAAGGUGGGCCUUGGGUCCCAUAGGACUGAUGUCCUUGCAGGGAGAGGAGGGAGACCCAGGCCGCAGGAACUGGCAGGUGUAAUACACCAGGGGUACGGAGGAAGGCUGGAAGACGCAAGGAAGGGGCCUCCCCUGGGGACCUAGAAGGGACGCUGGUCCUGCCAGCACCCCCAUUUUGGACACCUAGCCUUCUGAACAUUAAGACCACACAGUUCUGGUGCUUUCACCGCUGUCCCAGGGCACGGAUACAGGGGACACCAAGUCUCUCUAUUGGUUCCAGAAAGGUGCUGGGAGAGCUGGCAACCCUCUGACUAUUUUUGGCUGCUAAACUGUAUUUCUUUGUAUGUGAAGCCGAGCAAGCCUGAGCCAUGUGGGGCCCUGGCUUAUAUUUGGAUUAAAAUGUGAUGGAGCUAAUGUCUAUUUCACAGGAUCAUUGUGAGGACUACAUGACACAGUCUGGGUAGCAUAUGUCAGGGUGCCUGGCACACAGGACAAUUACCAGCAGCAUGCCAUAGGUUUUCUAUUGAUUAUUGGCAGAAAAUAG
This 1494-nucleotide long non-coding RNA is filed under the name Canis lupus familiaris (dog). Its description in RNAcentral is "lncRNA (ENSCAFG00000048114.2, ENSCAFG00845004902.1)". The record is from RNAcentral. Lineage: Eukaryota; Metazoa; Chordata; Mammalia; Carnivora; Canidae.